Non-coding RNA from Chiloscyllium plagiosum (whitespotted bambooshark), 649 nucleotides. NCBI's taxonomy places the organism in Eukaryota, Metazoa, Chordata, Chondrichthyes, Orectolobiformes, Hemiscylliidae. The record is from RefSeq and is a predicted model, not a curated record.
GGAGUGCUGCAUUGUUUGAAGUGUUGGUUUUCAGACUGGCUUUUUCAAGAUGCUUCAGGACAUUAUCUGUAUCUAACUUGUACCCUAUUUGGCAGGGUUAACAAAUACAUCUCAUCUCCUGCGACACUAGCAAUCAAAAUAAAAGAGUUCUUGCGUUUCAGAAUAUCGGUGGUUGAAACAUAAAGAUACCAGAGGACUAUCCACUAACAUUAUCAACAGCAAUGGUUUUUUCUUGGUAAUGAUUGUCACAUUGUUAUAACCAGCUCUUGCCCACAUUUGCCAAAGACCACAGAACAUUCUGGAAGUUCCAGUGCAAGGUGGAGGAUCAAACACACCACAACCUGGAAGCCAUCCUUUCAGUGAAGACUCAAUGAAGACUCGACCUGGCCCAGCAGCAGAGUUCCAUGCGCCUGGAAAGAGAAAGAGAGAAGAAAAGAAUGAUCCUAACAACUGCAUGAUUCACCUUCAUGGAAGAGAGCCUGCCCUAUGUCAGAGGAAAAGGAGAUUCCAAAGGCCCAGCUCAAACAUGUGGAUUGUUGUGGGUAAUAUACUUUGUCAGGUGGAUAGUGCUAGAUAAGGAACAAAUAUUGUGGGAAUUUGGGAAAUGCUCACAUGGCGUUUCCUACAAGAAACGCACGGGGCGGCACGG